This 490-nucleotide ribosomal RNA is filed under the name uncultured bacterium. Its description in RNAcentral is "bacterial SSU rRNA". It matches the Rfam family "Bacterial small subunit ribosomal RNA", at positions 31 to 518 of the family's 1533-position model. The record is from RNAcentral.
GAACGCUGGCGGCAUGCUUACACAUGCAAGUCGAACGGCAGCGCGGGGCAACCUGGCGGCGAGUGGCGAACGGGUGAGUAAUAUAUCGGAACGUACCCAAGAGUGGGGGAUAACGUAGCGAAAGUUACGCUAAUACCGCAUACGAUCCAAGGAUGAAAGCAGGGGACCUUCGGGCCUUGUGCUCCUGGAGCGGCCGAUAUCUGAUUAGCUAGUUGGUGAGGUAACGGCCCACCAAGGCGACGAUAGUUACCCGGCCUGAGAGGGUGAACGGGCACAUUGGGACUGAGAUACGGCCCAGACUCCUACGGGAGGCAGCAGCUAAGAAUAUUCCGCAAUGCACGAAAGUGUGACGGAGCGACGCCGCGUGGACGAUGAAGGCCGGAAGGUUGUAAAGUCCUUUUUAAUAUGAGGAAUAAGGAAGGUGAGAGAAACGCCUUCUGGUGACUGUAGUAUUAGAAUAAGGGGCGGCUAAUUACGUGCCAGCCGCCGC